This is an RNA transcript of Manihot esculenta (cassava), 3640 nucleotides long. RefSeq lists it as uncharacterized. The transcript is spliced from 7 exons. The record is from RefSeq and is a predicted model, not a curated record. Lineage: Eukaryota; Viridiplantae; Streptophyta; Magnoliopsida; Malpighiales; Euphorbiaceae.
CCUUUCUGCUUGUUGGUGAGGCCGAGGACGAGAGGAGAACGCAGACGAAAGCGGCAGUUAGUGCCACUACUAACGGCCACCGUCACAUUCUCCCUCUGACGUACGCCGACGCUGACGUGGCGAAAUAGCGACCGUCCAUCUUCAAUCAUCCUUUUGCACUUUUCAUCAUCAUCAGCCACGCUUCUUCCUUCCAGUCUCCACCACCAAAUUGCGCAACUCUGUCUCUAUCUCUGUACUGUCAGUGUCAAUAGAACAACAAUGAGCGCCCACCACUCUCCCUUUUCCAGAGUCCAUAGCCAAAAUUUUCCAAGCUUUUUCUAAUUUCUUUCUCUAGUUUUACAACCCCUUUGUAUAAUUCUAUGCAUAUAUUUCAGAUCCCGAAAUUCCUCGUCUUCUUCCUCAUACUUCCAAAUUUUAUAUUCUCUUUUUCUUCUUACUAGACAAUUUCUUUGAAAUUACUUCCAAUGUCUUCUUUUCUUCUUUCACCCAUUUCCUCAAAACGUCUGCUUUAAGCUUCAUUCAUUGUAAUAGAUGUCCAUUUUUCAUGUGGGGUAUGAAAAGUUAAUUUUUCAAUUCACUUUUUCUUCUUACAAGACAUUUCACUUUUUUUUUGGCUUGCCCUUUUGCUUUAUAGCCACCCUUUUUUAGGUCUCCUUGUUGAUAAAAGUUCAUUUUUGCAAAAAGGUCAAGCUUUUUGAGUGCUGUAGGUAUGGAUGCAGAUCAAGAUGGGUAUGCUAAUUUUGCAGAGAGCAGGGAGACAAGGUACGAGAGUGCCACUUCUGGAAAUGGUGUUGGCAAACAGUUUGUGGGCGAGCCUGAAAUGGGAUUUCAAGACCAAAUUAGAGAGUUCUUGAGGGGGGCAGCUGAAUUGAGUGUACAAUUCGCUAAAGGGUGUAGGGAUAUUGUGGUGCAGAGUCUAGGAAGGGAAGAUUCUUUUAUUGUGAGGAAUUUUGGGAGAAAUUCUUAUAUAGGGAAGAAAGUUGGGUAUGGCUGUGAGAGGAUUCAUAAGAAAUUGAAGGUGUUUAAUGAGUACUUGCCUGAGGAUAAGGAUCCAGUGCAUGCUUGGUCAGUGAUAUGCAUCGUGUCUGUUCUUACUUUUGCAGUCUUGAGUUUAAGUGGUGAACAUGACGCCCCAUCCACAUCAAUAAAGAAGGUGUUCAUACAUCCUCCUAGUGCUCAUCGCAUAUUGCUUCCAGAUGGCAGAUACAUGGCAUAUAGGGAGCAAGGUGUUCCAACCGACAGAGCUAGAUUUGCAAUGAUAGCUCCACAUGCUUUUCUUUCAUCUCGACUUGCAGGAAUACCUGGACUUAAGGCUUCACUCCUGGAAGAGUUUGGCGUCUACUUGUUAACAUGUGAUCUUCCUGGUUUUGGAGAGAGUGAUCCUCACCCAAACAGAAACCUCGAGUCAUCAGCAUUGGAUAUGUUAUACCUAGUAAAUUCUCGGGGUGUUAAGGACAAGUUCUGGGUUGUGGGAUACUCAACUGGGAGCCUUCAUGCUUGGGCAGCACUUAAAUACAUUCCUGAUAAACUUGCUGGUGCUGUUAUGUUUGCUCCUAUGGUUAAUCCUUAUGAUCCAUUGAUGACCAAGGAUGAAAGACGUGGAAUCUGGGAGAAGUGGACACGGAAAAGAAAAUUUAUGUAUUUCUUAGCUCGGAGGUUUCCUAGAUUACUUUCCUACUUCUACCACCGGAGCUUCCUGUCCGGAAAGCAUGAUAAGAUCGAUGCAUGGCUCUCACUGUCUCUAGGAAAGAGAGAUAAAGCUUUGAUAGAGGAUCCGAUCUAUGAAGAAUUCUGGCAAAGGGAUGUAGAAGAGUCAAUCCGACAGGGAAAUGCAAAACCCUUUAUAGAGGAAGCUGUUCUGCAAGUUUCAAAUUGGGGGUUCAGCCUUGCAGACAUCAAGUUGGAGAAGAAAAAGCCAGGGAAAGGUUUCCUCAAUUGGCUCAAAUUUGUGCUUACUGGAUCUGAAGAUGAGUAUACAGGUUUCCUUGGCCCCAUACACAUAUGGCAGGGGAUGGAUGACAAGGUCGUUCCACCAUUGAUGACCGAUUUUGUACACCGGGUUCUGCCGGGAGCUGCAGUUCAUAAGCUACCAUAUGAGGGCCAUUUCACAUAUUUUUACUUUUGUGAUGAAUGCCAUAGGCAGAUAUUCACUACACUCUUUGGGACCCCACAAGGCCCGCUAAACAAGAACAUAGAAGUAGAUCAAACUCCAUAUGAAGACAGUGUGGAGGUGGAUCAAAUAGAAGUGGAUCAUCCACACGAAGAUAACGUGACGGUGCAGGAGGCAGAUCAAAAAGAGGAACAGAUAGAUCAAACCCCAUUAGCAGAGGAUAUGCAAGAGCAGGAAGAAACACACACUGAAGAGGAAGAUGAGAGUUAGUAAUUAUAAUUUAGAAAGAUACCAUUUACCAAUGUAUAUACAUAGGUUUACUACCCUUGGAGUGAAGGUUUAGAAAUCCACAUCAUUCUUUUUGUUAUGGCUUUUAAAUGAUUGUGGAGUUUGAUUGUGGGAAAAUGGGUAUUGCUGGGAAGUUUUGGAGAUAUUGGCUGGAUGGAGAAAUAUACAGCAAGGAUCUAGCUAUAUUGUGACUCUGUGAGCUAAGGAGUUUCUUUUCCUCUUGACAUAAUGAUAUGAGAAAACAUGCCGACUGUUUGAGAAUCGUUUAAUGUCAGACACGAGACCAUUAAUGGAAGAAUAGCUUUGGCCUUGAGCUAUUUUAACAACCUGAAGAGCAUCACCCUGUGGAAGCCUCUUGCUUGAGAUAUAGCAACAGCUUCUCUAAAAGCUAGGGACUCAAAAUAAAAGGAUCCAAAAUACUAAGGAAGCGACGACAGCUACAGAACAGAGGAGAAGCCUGAAGGAAUCCGAGGUGGUUGCUCCAUCGAAAUUAUUCUUGAUGGAAUCCGAGGGGGAGGAACCAGAACUGCCAGAUUUGUUAUGAACUUGUGGAAGAGGAGAAUCCUGCAAGGCAUUAAACUUGGAGAAACCAUUUAGCUCCAUCGAUACAAUCUCUUGGUGAGAAGAUUUUUGAACACAAGGUUAUUCCGGCUUUUCCAAAUGCUCCAUAAGAGAUAAACCAUUAGAAUUACAAGAUUUUGAUCUUGUCCUUGCAAUGUCAAAACUGCCAUCAGUUCCGCCCAAAAGCAGAGGUCAUUUCUCCACUAAUUUUAAAAGACCGAAGCAUCAGUAGAAAGUCACAUAUCUUUGCGUACAUCUCCUAACAAUAUGAAGUUAAGACAUGUGAGAUCACAGGCCAUUGGCUUUGAAUAAUAAUAUAAUAGUCGUUGAAAGGAGAGGAUGAACAGAACGAACAGUGGCAAGAAUAGCACCGGAUAUUGCAAAUAAUUUGACGGAAAAGACUCUGUUGGCGGUGGCUUUCCAGAAACAGGAGUAUGCCGAUGAUGGUUAUCCACAAGGAGUGGAGGAUGAUGGAGCGGAGGCUGAAGCCCUUCUUGCUUGGCGUUUUGGGUUGCAUUUCUUGCAAGGAGGAGGAGACGAAUAGGAAUAUUCUUGCUAGGGGAGAGAAUGUUUCAAGUUGGCCUUAAUCAUUAGUUAGAUUUUUGUUUUUGAAAGGGUUUGAAAAAUCAUUCUUUAUCCUCACGAGUUUGGCGGUUACAAUUUCAUCUUAAAAUUACAUAA